UUUAUGGAGAGUUUGAUCCUGGCUCAGGAUGAACGCUGGCGGCGUGCCUAAUACAUGCAAGUCGAGCGAACGGACGAGAAGCUUGCUUCUC
This 91-nucleotide ribosomal RNA is filed under the name Staphylococcus aureus. RNAcentral describes it as "partial 16S ribosomal RNA". It matches the Rfam family "Bacterial small subunit ribosomal RNA", at positions 1 to 88 of the family's 1533-position model. Lineage: Bacteria; Bacillati; Bacillota; Bacilli; Caryophanales; Staphylococcaceae. The record is from RNAcentral.